AGAAUCAACGCUGGCGGCGUGCCUAACACAUGCAAGUCGCACGAGAAAGGGGAGCAAUCCCUGAGUACAGUGGCGCACGGGUGAGUAACACGUGAAUGAUCUACCUCCGAGUGGGGAAUAACUGAGAGAAAUCUUAGCUAAUACCGCAUAAUACCCACGGGUCAAAGCAGUAAUGCGCUUGGAGAGGAGUUCGCGGCAGAUUAGCUAGUUGGCGGGGUAAUGGCCCACCAAGGCGAUGAUCGGUA
RNAcentral lists this ribosomal RNA (245 nucleotides) under uncultured bacterium. RNAcentral describes it as "partial small subunit ribosomal RNA". It matches the Rfam family "Bacterial small subunit ribosomal RNA", at positions 26 to 285 of the family's 1533-position model. The record is from RNAcentral.